RNAcentral lists this ribosomal RNA (1182 nucleotides) under Triticum aestivum (bread wheat). RNAcentral describes it as "partial small subunit ribosomal RNA". The record is from RNAcentral. Lineage: Eukaryota; Viridiplantae; Streptophyta; Magnoliopsida; Poales; Poaceae.
AUGGCGGCGACCCUCGGCGGCGGCCACACCUCGCCGGCGGCGACACCACCGCUGGAAGACAGAGAUCUCCUCACUGACGUACUCCUCCGCCUCACCCCGCAGCCCUCAUCCCUCCCGCGCGCCUCGCUCGUCUGCGGACGCUGGCGCCGCCUCGUCUCCGACCCGCGAUUCGGCCGCCGAUUCCGCCUCCGCCACCGCCGCAACCCUCCCCUCCUCGGCUUCUUCGACAUGGGCACUCGCGGCCUCUACUUUGUGCCUACGCUGGAGAGUCCCGACCGUGUCCCGCCCGGGCGCUUCUCCUUGCAGUUGGACGACGGGGACGAGGCCGUGCCCCUUGGAUCCCGACACGGCCUCGUGCUCCUCUUCAACGUAUCUCGGAAACAGAUCCUGGUGUGGGAUCCCGUCACCAACGACCAGCACCGCGUCGCCCUUCCCCCGAGGUUCACGGGACAUGUGAACAUGACUGUGAUCCACGGGGCGGUGCUUCGUGCCGCCCGAGACGUCCAGCACUUUCAGGUGGUCUUGCUAGUGGUGGACAAUGACGACGACAUACACCACAUACGAGCGCUGGCCUGCGUCUACUCGUCGGAGACCGGCGUUUGGGGUGACGUCAUCUCGGCACCGCUUCUGCCCAAGGUCGACUUGAGCAGCCUUUACACCAGGGUUUAUCAGCCCAAGGCGGCUGUGCUGGUUGAAAGUUCCCUUUACUGGAUGCUUGUUGGAAAUUUGGUUGGUAUUCUCGAGUUUGAUUUGGUGAAGUGGAGCAUCGCCCUGAUACCGGCGCCGGUCGAUGUGUUUACCGAAGGAAAAUAUGAAUUCACAGUUUUGCGGACAGAGGGUGGUGGCCUUGGUUUCCUCUUCCUGUCAAAGUCAGACUUCAGUGCCCAAUUAUGGAAGAGAAGGACAACUAGUGAUGGUGUUGCUUCAUGGGAGCUGGGAAGAACAAUUGAACUGGACAAGCUAAUUCCCCUUAAUUCGAAGGAGAGAGCCCACACAUUCAUAGUAGGGUUUGCUGAGGACAAUAAUGUGGUAUUCCUGUGGAUGGUGAUGGGCGCCUUCAUGAUCCAUCUUGAGUCACUGCAGCUGAAGAAACUUCCCGAUCUCACCGUGAUUUCCUGCUAUCAUCCAUUUGAAAGUGUCUUUGCUGCAGUUACUGGCAUGCCUUUACACAUAUCAAAAUAG